GAUGAACGCUGGCGGCGUGCCUAAUACAUGCAAGUCGAGCGAACAGACGAGGAGCUUGCUCCUCUGACGUUAGCGGCGGACGGGUGAGUAACACGUGGAUAACCUACCUAUAAGACUGGGAUAACUUCGGGAAACCGGAGCUAAUACCGGAUAAUAUCUUGAACCGCAUGGUUCAAUAGUGAAAGACGGAUUUGCUGUCUCUUAUAGAUGGAUCCGCGCCGCAUUAGCUAGUUGGUAAGGUAACGGCUUACCAAGGCAACGAUGCGUAGCCGACCUGAGAGGGUGAUCGGCCACACUGGAACUGAGACACGGUCCAGACUCCUACGGGAGGCAGCAGUAGGGAAUCUUCCGAAAUGGGCGAAAGCCUGACGGAGCAACGCCGCGUGAGUGAUGAAGGUCUUCGGAUCGUAAAACUCUGUUAUUAGGGAAGAACAAAUGUGUAAGUAACUAUGCACGUCUUGACGGUACCUAAUCAGAAAGCCACGGCUAACUACGUG
This 497-nucleotide ribosomal RNA is filed under the name uncultured bacterium. RNAcentral's name for it is "partial 16S ribosomal RNA". It matches the Rfam family "Bacterial small subunit ribosomal RNA", at positions 28 to 507 of the family's 1533-position model. The record is from RNAcentral.